AAUCAACGCUGGCGGCGUGCCUCAGACAUGCAAGUCGAACGAUUAAAGCCCUCUUCGGAGGGUGCAUAAAGUGGCGCACGGGUGAGUAACACGUAAGUAAUCUACCUUCGAGUGGGGAAUAACGUUCGGAAACGAACGCUAAUACCGCAUAAUGCAGCGGCAUCUAUGUUGACAGUUGUUAAAGAUUUAGCGCUUGAAGA
This 200-nucleotide ribosomal RNA is filed under the name uncultured bacterium. RNAcentral describes it as "partial 16S ribosomal RNA". It matches the Rfam family "Bacterial small subunit ribosomal RNA", at positions 32 to 225 of the family's 1533-position model. The record is from RNAcentral.